GGGGCCUUAGCUUAGCUGGUAGAGCACCUGGCUCAUAACCGGGAAGUCCAGGGUUCGAGUCCCUGAGGUCCCA
RNAcentral lists this transfer RNA (73 nucleotides) under Caudoviricetes sp. RNAcentral describes it as "tRNA-Met". It matches the Rfam family "tRNA". Rfam says of the family: Transfer RNA (tRNA) molecules are approximately 80 nucleotides in length. Their secondary structure includes four short double-helical elements and three loops (D, anti-codon, and T loops). Lineage: Duplodnaviria; Heunggongvirae; Uroviricota; Caudoviricetes. The record is from RNAcentral.